UUUAUGGAGAGUUUGAUCCUGGCUCAGGAUGAACGCUGGCGGCGUGCCUAAUACAUGCAAGUCGAGCGAACGGACGAGAAGCUUGCUUCUCUGAUGUUAGCGGCGGACGGGUGAGUAACACGUGGAUAACCUACCUAUAAGACUGGGAUAACUUCGGGAAACCGGAGCUAAUACCGGAUAAUAUUUUGAACCGCAUGGUUCAAAAGUGAAAGACGGUCUUGCUGUCACUUAUAGAUGGAUCCGCGCUGCAUUAGCUAGUUGGUAAGGUAACGGCUUACCAAGGCAACGAUGCAUAGCCGACCUGAGAGGGUGAUCGGCCACACUGGAACUGAGACACGGUCCAGACUCCUACGGGAGGCAGCAGUAGGGAAUCUUCCGCAAUGGGCGAAAGCCUGACGGAGCAACGCCGCGUGAGUGAUGAAGGUCUUCGGAUCGUAAAACUCUGUUAUUAGGGAAGAACAUAUGUGUAAGUAACUGUGCACAUCUUGACGGUACCUAAUCAGAAAGCCACGGCUAACUACGUGCCAGCAGCCGCGGUAAUACGUAGGUGGCAAGCGUUAUCCGGAAUUAUUGGGCGUAAAGCGCGCGUAGGCGGUUUUUUAAGUCUGAUGUGAAAGCCCACGGCUCAACCGUGGAGGGUCAUUGGAAACUGGAAAACUUGAGUGCAGAAGAGGAAAGUGGAAUUCCAUGUGUAGCGGUGAAAUGCGCAGAGAUAUGGAGGAACACCAGUGGCGAAGGCGACUUUCUGGUCUGUAACUGACGCUGAUGUGCGAAAGCGUGGGGAUCAAACAGGAUUAGAUACCCUGGUAGUCCACGCCGUAAACGAUGAGUGCUAAGUGUUAGGGGGUUUCCGCCCCUUAGUGCUGCAGCUAACGCAUUAAGCACUCCGCCUGGGGAGUACGACCGCAAGGUUGAAACUCAAAGGAAUUGACGGGGACCCGCACAAGCGGUGGAGCAUGUGGUUUAAUUCGAAGCAACGCGAAGAACCUUACCAAAUCUUGACAUCCUUUGACAACUCUAGAGAUAGAGCCUUCCCCUUCGGGGGACAAAGUGACAGGUGGUGCAUGGUUGUCGUCAGCUCGUGUCGUGAGAUGUUGGGUUAAGUCCCGCAACGAGCGCAACCCUUAAGCUUAGUUGCCAUCAUUAAGUUGGGCACUCUAAGUUGACUGCCGGUGACAAACCGGAGGAAGGUGGGGAUGACGUCAAAUCAUCAUGCCCCUUAUGAUUUGGGCUACAC
This 1237-nucleotide ribosomal RNA is filed under the name Staphylococcus aureus. RNAcentral describes it as "bacterial SSU rRNA". It matches the Rfam family "Bacterial small subunit ribosomal RNA", at positions 1 to 1219 of the family's 1533-position model. Lineage: Bacteria; Bacillati; Bacillota; Bacilli; Caryophanales; Staphylococcaceae. The record is from RNAcentral.